This 71-nucleotide transfer RNA is filed under the name Alosa alosa (allis shad). Its description in RNAcentral is "tRNA-Gln". It matches the Rfam family "tRNA". Rfam says of the family: Transfer RNA (tRNA) molecules are approximately 80 nucleotides in length. Their secondary structure includes four short double-helical elements and three loops (D, anti-codon, and T loops). The record is from RNAcentral. Lineage: Eukaryota; Metazoa; Chordata; Actinopteri; Clupeiformes; Clupeidae.
GGUUUUAUAGUAUAAAGGCAGUACAAAGGACUUUGAAUCCUUCAGCCCGGGUUCGAAUCCCGGUAGAACCU